GCCAAGGCAAAUACUCUUAACAAAUUGUCUUAUAUAACCUAUGAUAAUUACACAUCAGAUAGCUGGAAUCAAUGGUAAAACCCCAUCUUGAUGCGUGUCGAAAUCCAAAUGCUACUACACCGCUACCAAUCAUUCAAUUAUAGUUGAGAAGCAUAUUUCUAUUAUACGCUUUUACACUAGAGAGCAGGCAUAGUUGAACCAUCAUGUUCAUGUAUUCUGGGAAAUUAUUGAAUACACCCAAAGUAAUACUACUUCACCCACAUAAAUGUGGAAUCCACCUCCCAUGAUUUAUGGAGGGUCAUAUACAUAUGUGAAUGCAAAGAGCACUAUUCUAUUGUAUACCAGGAAUAGUUAGAAUUUUCAUUUAUCUGGUAUAACACAUUAGAUUAACAAGUGCAAAGUUUGGAACAAGCCACAAAAUUAGCUUUUCAAAUAAUGAAAGAAAAAAUCAGUGUUAGUUGAGGCAAAUUAACAAUACAAAUUCAUGACAGAAAUCAAUCAGUUAACGGCAGAAUUAUUCCCUACAUAUCUGUAUAUAAAAAGGACAGAAGAUAUACCUGACACCAGCAUCACCAACA
Molecule: unclassified non-coding RNA, 578 nt
Filed under: Hevea brasiliensis (rubber tree)
Lineage: Eukaryota; Viridiplantae; Streptophyta; Magnoliopsida; Malpighiales; Euphorbiaceae
Source: RNAcentral